RNAcentral lists this non-coding RNA (100 nucleotides) under Clostridium colicanis 209318. Its description in RNAcentral is "Purine riboswitch aptamer". It matches the Rfam family "Purine riboswitch aptamer". From Rfam's summary of the family: Riboswitches are metabolite binding domains within certain messenger RNAs that serve as precision sensors for their corresponding targets. Allosteric rearrangement of mRNA structure is mediated by ligand binding, and this results in modulation of gene expression. The record is from Rfam by way of RNAcentral. Lineage: Bacteria; Bacillati; Bacillota; Clostridia; Eubacteriales; Clostridiaceae.
UAUAAUAACAUUCGUAAGAUUCGUAUAAUUCUAGUAAUUGGUCUAGAAGUUUCUACCAGACACCGUAAAUGUCUUGGCUAUGAGUUAUUUGCAAUUUAUU